This is a long non-coding RNA of Engraulis encrasicolus (European anchovy), 348 nucleotides long. RefSeq lists it as uncharacterized. The record is from RefSeq and is a predicted model, not a curated record. The transcript has 3 exons. NCBI's taxonomy places the organism in Eukaryota, Metazoa, Chordata, Actinopteri, Clupeiformes, Engraulidae.
CUUGCCAACCCUUCCCCGUCUCUCUCUCCCCACUUGCUUCCCGUCAUAGUCUUCACUGUCGUGUCUUGGAAUAAGGCACAUAUAAGGCAAAAAGCCCAAAAAAUAUUUUUAAAAAGAAGUACUCUUACAGAUGUUAUUACAACACUAGGAGAAGAUGAAAAGGACGGCACAGAAGACAGACUGCUAACUUUUAACCUCUGCAUUCGUUUUUAUUGAAUGGAAUAUGAAAAGGUGAAUGAGGACUGACUGCUGUGUGUGGGAAGAACACCGUGCUCAUCUUGGUUUCCGUCCAUUCACCGUCCUCAUGACUCAUGAAUUCUUGGACAUCUUAAGGAACAGAACCACAGU